Molecule: ribosomal RNA, 460 nt
Filed under: uncultured bacterium
Lineage: Bacteria
Description: partial 16S ribosomal RNA
Rfam family: Bacterial small subunit ribosomal RNA
Source: RNAcentral
CCUACGGGCGGCAGCAGUGAGGAAUAUUGGUCAAUGGGCGCGAGCCUGAACCAGCCAUGUAGCGUGAAGGAUGACUGCCCUACGGGUUGUAAACUUCUUUUAUAAAGGAAUAAAGUGAGGCACGUGUGCCUUUUUGUAUGUACUUUAUGAAUAAGGAUCGGCUAACUCCGUGCCAGCAGCCGCGGUAAUCCGGAGGGUCCGAGCGUUAUCCGGAUUUAUUGGGUUUAAAGGUAGCUUAGAUGGGUUGUUAAGUCAGUUGUGAAUGUUUGCGGCUCAACCGGAAAAGUGCAAUUGAUACUGGCAGGCUUGAGUACAGUUGAGGUAGGCGGAAUUCGUGGUGUAGCGGUGAAAUGCUUAGAUAUCACGAAGAACUCCGAUUGCGAAGGCAGCUUACUAAACUGCCACUGACAUUGAUGCUCGAAAGUGUGGGUAUCAAACAGGAUUAGAUACCCUAGUAGUC